Molecule: ribosomal RNA, 200 nt
Filed under: Coccinonectria pachysandricola
Lineage: Eukaryota; Fungi; Ascomycota; Sordariomycetes; Hypocreales; Nectriaceae
Description: partial 28S ribosomal RNA
Rfam family: Eukaryotic large subunit ribosomal RNA
Source: RNAcentral
UUGACCUCGGAUCAGGUAGGAAUACCCGCUGAACUUAAGCAUAUCAAUAAGCGGAGGAAAAGAAACCAACAGGGAUUGCCCUAGUAACGGCGAGUGAAGCGGCAACAGCUCAAUUUGAAAUCUGGCCCUCGGGUCCGAAUUGUAAUUUGUAGAGGAUGCUUUUGGUGCGGUGCCUUCCGAGUUCCCUGGAACGGGACGCC